This is a transfer RNA of Gregarina niphandrodes, 56 nucleotides long. It matches the Rfam family "tRNA", at positions 8 to 63 of the family's 71-position model. Rfam says of the family: Transfer RNA (tRNA) molecules are approximately 80 nucleotides in length. Their secondary structure includes four short double-helical elements and three loops (D, anti-codon, and T loops). Lineage: Eukaryota; Apicomplexa; Conoidasida; Eugregarinorida; Gregarinidae. The record is from Rfam.
UGGUCUAGUGGUAGAGUGCCUCGUUGCAAUCGAGGCGACCCGGGUUCAAUUCCCGG